RNAcentral lists this ribosomal RNA (253 nucleotides) under uncultured bacterium. Its description in RNAcentral is "partial 16S ribosomal RNA". It matches the Rfam family "Bacterial small subunit ribosomal RNA", at positions 524 to 776 of the family's 1533-position model. The record is from RNAcentral.
UACGUAGGUGGCAAGCGUUGUCCGGAUUUACUGGGCGUAAAGAGCGCGCAGGCGGUCGGAUAAGUCGAAUGUGAAAGCCCCCGGCUCAACUGGGGAGGGUCAUUCGAUACUGUUCGACUCGAAGGCAGGAGAGGGAAGUGGAAUUCCCGGUGUAGUGGUGAAAUGCGUAGAUAUCAGGAGGAACACCGGUGGCGAAGGCGGAUCUCUGGGCCUUACCUGACGCUGAGGCGCGAAAGCUAGGGGAGCGAACAGG